Long non-coding RNA from Zea mays, 577 nucleotides. RefSeq lists it as uncharacterized. NCBI's taxonomy places the organism in Eukaryota, Viridiplantae, Streptophyta, Magnoliopsida, Poales, Poaceae. The transcript has 3 exons. The record is from RefSeq and is a predicted model, not a curated record.
CUCAAAUGGCACAUUCAUCAACUGGAAAAGGCCAAGAAAAUUUCAUCCCCGGUCAAGCUUAAUCAUGGCGACAUUAUAUCAUUAUCAUCACCUCCUCAUGACGGUAAUAUCCUAUGAAUAAUUCUGAUUCAUUCAUACUGGGUUUACUGGGGUAGGUAUUCAUUACGCACUGUGUGCUACUAUUGUUCUCUGUGUUCAGUUCAUCAUAAUGUUUCUGUGGCAUUUUAUUACUGCUAUGUUGUGAUUGAUGUUUCAAAUCUUCUAUUCAAGUUGUAUGUUGCUUUUGCAGACAAUUCCUUUGUAUUUAUCUACCGGGAAAUGCAAUCAGUCGUGUAGAGAAUGGGGCUCCCAUUCUUAAAAGGAAGUCAGUGGAGGGUGGUUCUGGAAGUAAGAGGUUAAAGGGUCUUGGUAUUGGUUCUCCUGAUGGUCCUGUUUCACUAGAUGAUGUCCGAAGACUAGAAAAAUCUAAUGUUGAUCUCAGGGAACAACUUGAGGCACAUGUUGUGACAAUUGAGACUUUGAGGGCUGAAAUAAAAACAGCCCAAGUGCAGCAUGGAAAGGUCAUAUAUUACUUCCA